Molecule: ribosomal RNA, 442 nt
Filed under: uncultured bacterium
Lineage: Bacteria
Description: bacterial SSU rRNA
Rfam family: Bacterial small subunit ribosomal RNA
Source: RNAcentral
AGCGAACGCUGGCGGCAGGCUUAACACAUGCAAGUCGAGCGGGCGUAGCAAUACGUCAGCGGCAGACGGGUGAGUAACACGUGGGAACGUACCUUUUGGUUCGGAACAACACAGGGAAACUUGUGCUAAUACCGAAUAAGCCCUUACGGGGAAAGAUUUAUCGCCGAAAGAUCGGCCCGCGUCUGAUUAGCUUGUUGGUGAGGUAACGGCUCACCAAGGCGACGAUCAGUAGCUGGCUGAGAGGAUGAUCAGCCACACUGGGACUGAGACACGGCCCAGACUCCUACGGGAGGCAGCAGUGGGGAAUAUUGGACAAUGGGGGCAACCCUGAUCCAGCCAUGCCGCGUGAGUGAUGAGGCCCUAGGUUGUAAAGCUCUUUUGUGCGGAAGAUAAUGACGGUACCGCAAGAAUAACGCCCCGGCUAACUUCGUGCCAGCAGCCG